Molecule: non-coding RNA, 109 nt
Filed under: Stackebrandtia nassauensis
Lineage: Bacteria; Bacillati; Actinomycetota; Actinomycetes; Glycomycetales; Glycomycetaceae
Also listed under: 1 other name
Description: Glycine sequence
Rfam family: Glycine riboswitch aptamer
About the family: This family represents the bacterial glycine riboswitch. Glycine riboswitches usually consist of two metabolite-binding aptamers domains with similar structures in tandem.
Source: RNAcentral
CACCUCUGGAAAGCAGACGCUGAACCCGUUCAGACGUCUCACCGACGGGGCAAGCCGGGCGGAUUACCCGCGCGGUGAAACUCUCAGGGCACCCGACAGAGGGGGAGGA